RNAcentral lists this unclassified non-coding RNA (238 nucleotides) under soil metagenome. RNAcentral describes it as "partial internal transcribed spacer 1". The record is from RNAcentral.
AAAAAUCUUUAUGGGUGGAACUGAGUCUUCCCCUUGGGGAAGCCAGCGAAGCCCGACCCACACCUUUGUGAACCACGACCGUAUUUUGGUGAGGCCUUUGCUGCUGGGGUUUUCUUCCCCAUAGCACUGAGAUAGGGCGUGCUGACCAACGGUCAGCCGACCAUCUGCUCGCCUCACCGACCCACACCUGUUUAUGACAUUUUUUGUAAUAUUCAAUAAAGAGAAAUCAAUGAGAAAA